This 17-nucleotide small RNA is filed under the name Arabidopsis thaliana (thale cress). RNAcentral's name for it is "ATSL158430". Lineage: Eukaryota; Viridiplantae; Streptophyta; Magnoliopsida; Brassicales; Brassicaceae. The record is from RNAcentral.
UUUUUUCUUUCUUCUCU